GUGAUGAUGAAAAACAUAAUAAUUUGGUUCUCCUGAGAUCUGUUCCUGCAAACUACUAGAAAAACUGAACAAUGU
Molecule: small nucleolar RNA, 75 nt
Filed under: Chrysemys picta bellii (western painted turtle)
Lineage: Eukaryota; Metazoa; Chordata; Testudines; Emydidae
Description: Small nucleolar RNA Z159/U59 (ENSCPBG00000001396.1)
Source: RNAcentral